AUAACAACUGCCAUGCCAAUGGCAGGCUCUGUGGAGGUGGGGAUGUCAACAAGCAAGGAGGUGCAGGCAAGGAUGACCUCACUGGGGGUUCCAGCAAUGCUUUCCUUUUGGUUGAAGAGCUGAGACAACAGAGCAUUGGAGAAGACGGGGAGUCUCAGAGUGGGUCUCCGCAGAGACCUCUGACGUCUGAAGUCCUUCUGAAGAAGUGUCUGAGGAUGCUGUGCGGUCCUGAGGCUGACUCAAAGGACAGCCAGGGCAUCUGGACCAUUGUAGGAUGUUAGAGAGCUGUGCUGCUGCUUCUCCCUCUGCCACAUCACACCCACGUUUCAGGUUCCCCUGAAUCAAGUGUGGACAGUCAUGGACACUGGUUGCCUGGUCUGUGAGAUGGGCAGUAGGAAGAUGUGAAAUUGUCUUGAGAUGGAGAGGUCAGUAGUAUCCAAAGCAGAUGUAGAAG
RNAcentral lists this long non-coding RNA (454 nucleotides) under Cricetulus griseus (Chinese hamster). Its description in RNAcentral is "lncRNA (ENSCGRG00015030409.1)". The record is from RNAcentral. Lineage: Eukaryota; Metazoa; Chordata; Mammalia; Rodentia; Cricetidae.